Molecule: small nuclear RNA, 20 nt
Filed under: Arabidopsis thaliana (thale cress)
Lineage: Eukaryota; Viridiplantae; Streptophyta; Magnoliopsida; Brassicales; Brassicaceae
Description: snRNA_01414
Source: RNAcentral
GGCAGAAUCAGCGGGGAAAG